UUUUGAUGUUAAUCGUGCUUUCCUGGGUAGUAUUAGUUAUGUUCUUGAAACCUAAAGAAUUUGGCGGUAUUUUAUUCCUUCCAGAGGAAUCUGCCCCUUAAUCGAUAAUCCACGUUGGACCUUACUUAAUUUAUAUUUGUUUGUAUACCGCCGUUGUAGUGAAGAUCUCCUUAGUGUUUAUUAAAUUUUCUGAUUUCUUUAUUUUGGAUUUAUUUCAGGUCAAGGUGCAGCUUGUUUUUAAGUGUGAGGUGGAUUACAUUAUAUAUUGUUUUGUGGAUUGUCAGUUGGAAUUUGAUAUGAAAUUGGAUUUGGUUGUAAUUUAUUUUAUGAUGUUUUUAUGAUAUUGGUUCUAAAAUAUGU
This 360-nucleotide ribosomal RNA is filed under the name Comatermes perfectus. Its description in RNAcentral is "partial 12S ribosomal RNA". Lineage: Eukaryota; Metazoa; Arthropoda; Insecta; Blattodea; Kalotermitidae. The record is from RNAcentral.